AAUUACCAGUAGGUAAAUAGAUAAAUGAGGGCAUUAGAAUUGUUCUUAUUCUGGAGCCAGGUGCUAUCUUCAGACCAGGGGUAGGGCAUCCCUUGGAUGAAGAGAAAAGUUUCACAAAGAUUCUGCAAGGUUGUCUUGAACCAGUGCUUGGAAAAGAGAGCUGAAGGUGAUUAACUGCUUGCUGUGAUACAGAUGCUGAAUGAAGAGAAUGGCUGAAAUAAUAGAAAACCCCAUUUCUGCUCUCUUGCAUCACGAGUUCCCAAGUUUAUGCUCACCAAGCAGCAUCUCAGCCUACUUUCUUAAAUCAAGAGAAUUGUUUAUGUCCUUGGGAGCUGGCAUAAUAACAUCUGAAGGAAGCCAUGAGACACAACAGGAAUUCAUUUGUAAGUUAAUGAAAGCUGUGCAGUGCAGCAUAAGGAUGAUCAGGGCAGGUCCUGGGCAGCAUUUGUCAAGCUAAAUUCCUUUCUGUUGAAAUUGCUCUCCUCGGAAGAAUCAUGGACCAGCUUAAAAACCGCUUCUGUACAAAUUUGUUAUACAGAAUUCCUUGCUAUAAAGAUGUGUGAUAGAACAGGGUACAGGACAGAAACAGGAGAAAGGUGAUAUGGAUCAAAAAAGAAAGAGAAAAUUGCUUAAAGGCCCUAGCAGAGAGGGGGGAAAAAAGUACCACCUGGGUAGUGUGGCAAAUUUUCCAUGGAAUUUGUCUCUUGGAACAGAAUGUUUUGGUACUCACUGGAGGGGAUUGAACUGGAGAUGGGGUUGAUGCCAAACACCUGAUAGAACCAAAGCACACAGAGCCUGAGCCCAUCUGAAGAAACCCUGAAAGAGCUGGGAAUGAGUUUGUGUGCAAGAACCUAACCAGAAGACGAGCUGCUGUAGCGAGCAAGGUCAACCCUCCCCCUUGAUUUGGGAUUGCUCUUGUGGUGGGAAAAUGAGGCCCUACAGUAAAUAAGGAUUUGAAUGCUAAAGCUCUGCCUCAGUGCAGAGAGCAGGUGGACAGAGCAGGCCAGUGGUGGAAUAUCACAGCAUCUCUUGGGCUAUGAGUCAGACCAGACUCAUCACCAUCAUGCGGCUUUCCAGUCACAAGGACGUGUUUGUCCCCUCUCGGACUUGCAUUGCCCUCAAGGAAAAGCAGCCACAGCUCAGUUCUGUGCCUUGCUCUGCCACAGAUCUGCAGCAGAACACUGUGCCCAAAAGAACAGACCUGCUUCUGUUUCCUCUUCCGCAAAGCCAAGAGGCAGUGUGGCAAUGGAGAUGCCCAUGGCCAAGUGCCCUCCUGAGGAAAGGGCUGGAAGAGAAGCUGGGGGUGUCACCAGACCUCUCCACAUGGAGAUGGUCCUGUGCUUUUCCUGCCUGGGAAGAGUGAAAGAGAGUCAAUUUUGCAUGUGUGAACAGCCUGUCUCAAAUGAGAGCAAGGAGCUGAGUUGCCCAAGCCUGUUUUCUAUGGAUGUGUCCUGCAGUGCACACAGGAGGAUCUAACGUGGCCCUCAGCGAUCAGAGCUCUGCUGCAGAGCAGGAUGUGCCUGUCAUCCACAUGGAUCGAGAUGCCUGAAUCAGCACACUCGUUUCCCCAACAGUGGGAGCAUCACACCUCAGGCUAGAAGAUAAAGUUGAGUUCCCAGGAAAGACCCCAUCUCCAAAUAUUGGCAAGCUGUGAGCUACAGCCGGUGUUUGGCUGAGACUAAUCCUUGAAUUAUGAAAUGCCUGUGUUCCCCAAGGCUGAUCAUCAGCCUGAGCCCCAAAGAUCCACUCGCAGCACCUGGAGCCCUGUACUCACAGGUAAGUGGAGGCAGUGGCUUUUCCAUUUCCUGCAAUGCUGCUUCUGCUUUUUAAAGGAAGAGGAGUUGGUGGAUAGUGGGCCAGGCACUUUGGGCACUCCUCAGAACUGGGCUGAUGACUGGGGGUGUCAUUUACCUGACCCAGAGCCCCCUCCCUGCUCUCUGUUCUGUGGAAUCUCAGCAUGCAGCUUCACCCUGCACAAGUGAGGCAGCCCAAAAUCCCCGGUUUAUUUUCCUGUCUCUUCUUUAUCUUACUGAGAUCUUGUCUGCUGCCUCCUGGCCUGACGCUCAGCAGGCUGGUUCGGGUUGCCAAGGGAAGCAGACAUUCCUCCCCAGGUCUCAGCUCACCACUUGCUGCUGCUGU
Cyanistes caeruleus (blue tit) is the source of this 2139-nucleotide non-coding RNA. NCBI's taxonomy places the organism in Eukaryota, Metazoa, Chordata, Aves, Passeriformes, Paridae. The record is from RefSeq and is a predicted model, not a curated record.